This 472-nucleotide ribosomal RNA is filed under the name uncultured bacterium. Its description in RNAcentral is "bacterial SSU rRNA". It matches the Rfam family "Bacterial small subunit ribosomal RNA", at positions 335 to 798 of the family's 1533-position model. The record is from RNAcentral.
ACUCCUACGGGAGGCAGCAGUAGGGAAUCUUCCACAAUGGGCGCAAGCCUGAUGGAGCAACACCGCGUGAGUGAAGAAGGGUUUCGGCUCGUAAAGCUCUGUUGUUAAAGAAGAACACGUAUGAGAGUAACUGUUCAUACGUUGACGGUAUUUAACCAGAAAGUCACGGCUAACUACGUGCCAGCAGCCGCGGUAAUACGUAGGUGGCAAGCGUUAUCCGGAUUUAUUGGGCGUAAAGAGAGUGCAGGCGGUUUUCAAGUCUGAUGUGAAAGCCUUCGGCUUAACCGGAGAAGUGCAUCGGAAACUGGAUAACUGAGUGCAGAAGAGGUAGUGGAACUCCAUGUGUAGCGGUGGAAUGCGUAGAUAUAUGGAAGAACACCAGUGGCGAAGGCGGCUACCUGGUCUGCAACUGACGCUGAGACUCGAAAGCAUGGGUAGCGAACAGGAUUACGAUACCCCUGGUAGCGACUGA